CAGGAUUUUCCCCAGGAAGGGUUCUUUAUGGUUGGCUAUCAUCGAACAUGGAUCCGUAUCGCUGCCUUGGGGACAAAAAGUAUGAUGCUACAGCAGCAUGCCUUUUUUCGCACAAGCUUCGUAUCAAGAGGUAACAUCUUAAGAUUUAUUGGUCAUGUCGUGUUUUCAACCAAAUUGUACUAGGAGUUAAGGUACUUUUGCUAUGUCAGUGUGGCCAUCCAUAUGAAAGAUCUGAUGGUUCAUGAGA
Molecule: long non-coding RNA, 247 nt
Organism: Panicum virgatum (switchgrass)
Lineage: Eukaryota; Viridiplantae; Streptophyta; Magnoliopsida; Poales; Poaceae
Exons: 2
Source: RefSeq, a predicted model, not a curated record